UACGAAGGGGGCUAGCGUUGUUCGGAAUUACUGGGCGUAAAGCGCACGUAGGCGGACAUUUAAGUCAGGGGUGAAAUCCCAGAGCUCAACUCUGGAACUGCCUUUGAUACUGGGUGUCUUGAGUAUGGAAGAGGUGAGUGGAAUUCCGAGUGUAGAGGUGAAAUCCGUAGAUAUUCGGAGGAACACCAGUGGCGAAGGCGGCUCACUGGUCCAUUACUGACGCUGAGGUGCGAAAGCGUGGGGAGCAAACAGG
This 253-nucleotide ribosomal RNA is filed under the name uncultured bacterium. RNAcentral describes it as "partial 16S ribosomal RNA". It matches the Rfam family "Bacterial small subunit ribosomal RNA", at positions 524 to 776 of the family's 1533-position model. The record is from RNAcentral.